GAAGGGAUGGCUGAGUGGUUUAAAGCGGUGGACUGUAAAUCCAUUUAACUAAUUAAUCGUAGGUUCGAAUCCUACUCCCUUCA
This 83-nucleotide transfer RNA is filed under the name Ahnfeltia fastigiata. RNAcentral's name for it is "tRNA-Tyr". It matches the Rfam family "tRNA". Rfam says of the family: Transfer RNA (tRNA) molecules are approximately 80 nucleotides in length. Their secondary structure includes four short double-helical elements and three loops (D, anti-codon, and T loops). The record is from RNAcentral. Lineage: Eukaryota; Rhodophyta; Florideophyceae; Ahnfeltiales; Ahnfeltiaceae.